UGUCUGGGCUGAGAUGAAACACAGAUAGGAUCUUUUUUCCAGCAGAAGUCUCUCCUGCUCCCAAACCUUCAUGACAAGCACCGACCUUUCCACGGUGAUGCAGAUCACUGAUCCAACAGCAAUGUCUCUGGUGCCUUCAGGAACCAGGAUCUUCGCCAGCGGGCGAUGGUCCCCGUCUGCAUGGUGGGCGACAGAGAAGGAAGCUCCACCUGCAACAAACAAACCCGAGAGGUCAGCGAAAGACGAGGAGGCUGCAGGAACGCCCACCACAGAAGAAGGAGGAAAAGAACUAGUCACUGGUUAUGGUGUCAGCGUCCAUCACACCACAUCAUACCACUCCGCUCAGUAAACACCAACGAUUUCAACACAGCUGUGGACCUUUUGGAAGCAGCUGAGGUCAACAAACAGAAGCUUUGAGCUAAAGGUAAAAAUAAAAGAAGCUUCCAAA
Non-coding RNA from Oryzias latipes (Japanese medaka), 448 nucleotides. NCBI's taxonomy places the organism in Eukaryota, Metazoa, Chordata, Actinopteri, Beloniformes, Adrianichthyidae. The record is from RefSeq and is a predicted model, not a curated record.